This 2923-nucleotide ribosomal RNA is filed under the name Klebsiella pneumoniae. Its description in RNAcentral is "bacterial LSU rRNA". It matches the Rfam family "Bacterial large subunit ribosomal RNA". The record is from RNAcentral. Lineage: Bacteria; Pseudomonadati; Pseudomonadota; Gammaproteobacteria; Enterobacterales; Enterobacteriaceae.
GGGUUGUGAGGUUAAGCGACUAAGCGUACACGGUGGAUGCCCUGGCAGUCAGAGGCGAUGAAGGACGUGCUAAUCUGCGAAAAGCGUCGGUAAGGUGAUAUGAACCGUUAUAACCGGCGAUGUCCGAAUGGGGAAACCCAGUGCAAUUCGUUGCACUAUCGUUAACUGAAUACAUAGGUUAACGAGGCGAACCGGGGGAACUGAAACAUCUAAGUACCCCGAGGAAAAGAAAUCAACCGAGAUUCCCCCAGUAGCGGCGAGCGAACGGGGAGCAGCCCAGAGUCUGAAUCAGCUUGUGUGUUAGUGGAACGGUCUGGAAAGUCCGACGGUACAGGGUGAUAGUCCCGUACACCAAAAUGCACAGGCUGUGAACUCGAAGAGUAGGGCGGGACACGUGGUAUCCUGUCUGAAUAUGGGGGGACCAUCCUCCAAGGCUAAAUACUCCUGACUGACCGAUAGUGAACCAGUACCGUGAGGGAAAGGCGAAAAGAACCCCGGCGAGGGGAGUGAAAAAGAACCUGAAACCGUGUACGUACAAGCAGUGGGAGCACCUUCGGGUGUGACUGCGUACCUUUUGUAUAAUGGGUCAGCGACUUAUAUUCUGUAGCAAGGUUAACCGUAUAGGGGAGCCGCAGGGAAACCGAGUCUUAACUGGGCGUUAAGUUGCAGGGUAUAGACCCGAAACCCGGUGAUCUAGCCAUGGGCAGGUUGAAGGUUGGGUAACACUAACUGGAGGACCGAACCGACUAAUGUUGAAAAAUUAGCGGAUGACUUGUGGCUGGGGGUGAAAGGCCAAUCAAACCGGGAGAUAGCUGGUUCUCCCCGAAAGCUAUUUAGGUAGCGCCUCGUGAAUUCAUCUUCGGGGGUAGAGCACUGUUUCGGCUAGGGGGUCAUCCCGACUUACCAACCCGAUGCAAACUACGAAUACCGAAGAAUGUUAUCACGGGAGACACACGGCGGGUGCUAACGUCCGUCGUGAAGAGGGAAACAACCCAGACCGCCAGCUAAGGUCCCAAAGUCAUGGUUAAGUGGGAAACGAUGUGGGAAGGCACAGACAGCCAGGAUGUUGGCUUAGAAGCAGCCAUCAUUUAAAGAAAGCGUAAUAGCUCACUGGUCGAGUCGGCCUGCGCGGAAGAUGUAACGGGGCUAAACCAUGCACCGAAGCUGCGGCAGCGACACUAUGUGUUGUUGGGUAGGGGAGCGUUCUGUAAGCCUGCGAAGGUGUGCUGUGAGGCAUGCUGGAGGUAUCAGAAGUGCGAAUGCUGACAUAAGUAACGAUAAAGCGGGUGAAAAGCCCGCUCGCCGGAAGACCAAGGGUUCCUGUCCAACGUUAAUCGGGGCAGGGUGAGUCGACCCCUAAGGCGAGGCCGAAAGGCGUAGUCGAUGGGAAACAGGUUAAUAUUCCUGUACUUGGUGUUACUGCGAAGGGGGGACGGAGAAGGCUAUGUUAGCCGGGCGACGGUUGUCCCGGUUUAAGCAUGUAGGCUGGUUAUCCAGGCAAAUCCGGAUAAUCAAGGCUGAGGUGUGAUGACGAGGCACUACGGUGCUGAAGUAACAAAUGCCCUGCUUCCAGGAAAAGCCUCUAAGCAUCAGGUAACAUCAAAUCGUACCCCAAACCGACACAGGUGGUCAGGUAGAGAAUACCAAGGCGCUUGAGAGAACUCGGGUGAAGGAACUAGGCAAAAUGGUGCCGUAACUUCGGGAGAAGGCACGCUGGUGUGUAGGUGAAGUCCCUGCGGAUGGAGCUGAGACCAGUCGAAGAUACCAGCUGGCUGCAACUGUUUAUUAAAAACACAGCACUGUGCAAACACGAAAGUGGACGUAUACGGUGUGACGCCUGCCCGGUGCCGGAAGGUUAAUUGAUGGGGUUAUCCGUAAGGAGAAGCUCUUGAUCGAAGCCCCGGUAAACGGCGGCCGUAACUAUAACGGUCCUAAGGUAGCGAAAUUCCUUGUCGGGUAAGUUCCGACCUGCACGAAUGGCGUAAUGAUGGCCAGGCUGUCUCCACCCGAGACUCAGUGAAAUUGAACUCGCUGUGAAGAUGCAGUGUACCCGCGGCAAGACGGAAAGACCCCGUGAACCUUUACUAUAGCUUGACACUGAACAUUGAGCCUUGAUGUGUAGGAUAGGUGGGAGGCUUUGAAGCGUGGACGCCAGUCUGCGUGGAGCCAACCUUGAAAUACCACCCUUUAAUGUUUGAUGUUCUAACGUUGGCCCCUUACCGGGGUUGCGGACAGUGUCUGGUGGGUAGUUUGACUGGGGCGGUCUCCUCCCAAAGCGUAACGGAGGAGCACGAAGGUUAGCUAAUCCUGGUCGGACAUCAGGAGGUUAGUGCAAUGGCAUAAGCUAGCUUGACUGCGAGCGUGACGGCGCGAGCAGGUGCGAAAGCAGGUCAUAGUGAUCCGGUGGUUCUGAAUGGAAGGGCCAUCGCUCAACGGAUAAAAGGUACUCCGGGGAUAACAGGCUGAUACCGCCCAAGAGUUCAUAUCGACGGCGGUGUUUGGCACCUCGAUGUCGGCUCAUCACAUCCUGGGGCUGAAGUAGGUCCCAAGGGUAUGGCUGUUCGCCAUUUAAAGUGGUACGCGAGCUGGGUUUAGAACGUCGUGAGACAGUUCGGUCCCUAUCUGCCGUGGGCGCUGGAGAAUUGAGGGGGGCUGCUCCUAGUACGAGAGGACCGGAGUGGACGCAUCACUGGUGUUCGGGUUGUCAUGCCAAUGGCACUGCCCGGUAGCUAAAUGCGGAAGAGAUAAGUGCUGAAAGCAUCUAAGCACGAAACUUGCCCCGAGAUGAGUUCUCCCUGAGACUUUAAGUCUCCUGAAGGAACGUUGAAGACGACGACGUUGAUAGGCCGGGUGUGUAAGCGCAGCGAUGCGUUGAGCUAACCGGUACUAAUGAACCGUGAGGCUUAACCUUACAACGCCGAAG